Molecule: long non-coding RNA, 461 nt
Filed under: Setaria viridis
Lineage: Eukaryota; Viridiplantae; Streptophyta; Magnoliopsida; Poales; Poaceae
Description: long non-coding RNA (SVIR_LNC009377)
Source: RNAcentral
UGAAAAGGUGGUGCCAUGAGGUUCAGCUGAUCUUGAGGUGCCGUUGCCAGCGGCUGUGAUGAGGACACCACGAGUACAUCUACACCAGCAGCACCUCAGGCGCCUCCAGUUGCUCCUCCACCUCAGGCGCCUACAGUUGAUCAUCCGGUUGGGCCAAUCACUCGGGCCCGUGCGAGAGAAUUAAACUUCAUCAUGCUGUUAAGGAACGAAGGCCCAGCGGAAUAAGAAGAUGGCCUAACAGGGUAGCCCAGGUGGGGCGCCUAGGGUUGGGAGCCACGGCCCUCCCCCUGGUCGCGCGCGCCCCCUCCUGCCGUGGCGCCUCCUCCGGAUUCCAGGGGUUGCGCCCCCUUUUAUUUAGUCGGAGUCCCUUUUGUUUACAACUUGAGUUUUGUUUUACAUCUAGCUUUAGCUACUCUUGAACACGCGCAAAUACGCGCUGUCCUUGUGUGAUUCAGAACUCC